RNAcentral lists this long non-coding RNA (1670 nucleotides) under Homo sapiens (human). Its description in RNAcentral is "HSALNT0317873". Lineage: Eukaryota; Metazoa; Chordata; Mammalia; Primates; Hominidae. The record is from RNAcentral.
GUAGACUCCUUUGUCACCCCUCAGCUUCGCCGUGAGGAAAAUGUCCUGCAAACACCAGCCCAGAUGGAGGGAGCCACGGCUUCACCACUUCCUGCCGGUGUGCCGGGCUGCGCUCCAGGGACCGCUGGGGCCGUCACCAAAAGAACGGAGCCCAGGGAACGUGGAGAGGAGCCCAGAUGCCUGAGGACCGAGGAGGUUCCAGGGGUGCAGGACCUUUGAUGCUUAGAGCCAGGAGAGGCCACUCGGCCACCCUAAGGGCAGGUCUUCUGCCCCAGGCCGCGUGUGGUUUCUUUCGACACACUGAGGAAGCCUUUCUCCUGAGAUCACCAAAUGCAGCCUGCCCGGUUUCUGUUCCCCAUUACUGCGUAUGCGGUGGGCAAACCUCCUCCGGCCCUGAAAGCUCCUGGCUGCCUGGGGAUUUUCUGUGUGCUCCUACAUAAAAAGCAGCUUCUGUCACUCAACUGGCAAAUACAGUCUCAAUUCAGAGUCAGUCCAAAUCCAUUACCCUAACCCUGAGAUAUUAAUCCAAGCUCCAUUCUUGGUUUAAAGCCAGCCCCUGUGGGCCCUGCUCCCCCGGCCUCCUGGGGUGGAAGCCUGUGCUGGGGGCUGCGGUGUGGGGUUUGCUCUCCUCCCUCCCGCAGGUGGAUGCAGGGCGAGGGAGUGAGGAGGAAUGAGGGUCAGGGGCAGGAAAGGCAGCCUGUGGCAGCCAGGCGGGGCCAGCGCUGCACACCGGGGAAAGGCUCAGCGGGAACGUGUUCCCAGCACUUUGUCUCCCCAGGCCUCAGUUUCUGCAUCUGUAAACGGGCAUGUGCAGGGUUGUGAGAGGGUCAGAGAGCCCCCGUCAGGCCCUUAGUGCGCUGCUAGGCACCGAAUGGGAGCCCGGUCAGCAGUGCCUGCGGGAGCCGACGCUGCUCCGGCAGGAUUGAGUGGAAUUCCGCCCAGGCCGGGAGCUCCCUCGGGCUGGGGAGGCCUCGGGGACCUGGCUAUGAUGGUGAUCUGGGACUUGAUGGGUGAAUGGGUUGGGGCCAGCAUCAGCUUUGGGCAUAUAUUAGGGAGUUACUGAGGAAGACAGAGAAAAAGGGGCACCUAGUUCUUUUAUAAUCCUCCGGGAAAAGGUGAGCUCUGAGCGCUACCUGCUCACUGAACAGCGGAAGAGCGAGCAGCGCCCAGGCCCCGACGCUGUGCAGAGCCCCGGGAGGGCGGCGUUUGCGUGAUUGUUCAAGGUGGACUCGAAGAGCAACAUUUAAAACAUUUCCGAUGUCAUUUUCUUGUUUUGAGGCGAUGCUUUCUGAUUUAUUUCACGUUUAUUUUCUGUAAAGGAAAACACCCUCCUAAACAUACAUUUUCUCAAGGCACAUCACAUGGUCUGAAAAAAAAAACAAAAAAAGGACAUCUUCUCCAAAUUGGUAUUCCUCCAGCUGGAGCAGCUCUGUUGCUGCCAAGCUUCGGUUCUUUGACAAGAAGAGACAUUUCAAAGCCGGGUCCCACAGGAGGGGUUCACGCCACACACGUGGCCAAGCCCUUCCUGAUUCCUGAACCUGCCCCUGCCCGCUGGCCUUUGGGACCUCCCCAGCCCCUGGCCCUGGCGGCCCGAGGAAGUUCUGUGUAGGAAUAAUAUGGUCUACUUAAUUAAUGCAUAUUUUAUUUGGUGACAACGUCCCUAAUUGCCA